Molecule: ribosomal RNA, 434 nt
Filed under: uncultured bacterium
Lineage: Bacteria
Description: bacterial SSU rRNA
Rfam family: Bacterial small subunit ribosomal RNA
Source: RNAcentral
GAGACACGGCCCAGACUCCUACGGGAGGCAGCAGUGGGGAAUAUUGCACAAUGGGGGAAACCCUGAUGCAGCGACGCCGCGUGGAGGAAGAAGGUCUUCGGAUUGUAAACUCCUGUUGUUGAGGAAGAUAAUGACGGUACUCAACAAGGAAGUGACGGCUAAUUAUGUGCCAGCAGCCGCGGUAAAACGUAGGUCACAAGCGUUGUCCGGAAUUACUGGGUGUAAAGGGAGCGCAGGCGGGAAGACAAGUUGGAAGUGAAAUCUAUGGGCUCAACCCAUAAACUGCUUUCAAAACUGUUUUUCUUGAGUAGUGCAGAGGUAGGCGGAAUUCCCGGUGUAGCGGUGGAAUGCGUAGAUAUCGGGAGGAACACCAGUGGCGAAGGCGGCCUACUGGGCACCAACUGACGCUGAGGCUCGAAAGUGUGGGUAGCAAA